UAUCAUGUUCCUCUUUGACCCCGNUAAGC
This 29-nucleotide non-coding RNA is filed under the name Mus musculus (house mouse). The record is from RNAcentral. Lineage: Eukaryota; Metazoa; Chordata; Mammalia; Rodentia; Muridae.